CCUACGGGUGGCAGCAGUGAGGAAUAUUGGUCAAUGGACGUAAGCCUGAACCAGCCAAGUCGCGUGAGGGAUGAAUGUUCUAUGGAUCGUAAACUUCUUUUAUAAGGGAAUAAAGCGCGGGACGUGUGCCUUUUUGUAUGUACCUUAUGAAUAAGGAUCGGCUAACUCCGUGCCAGCAGCCGCGGUAAUACGGAGGAUCCGAGCGUUAUCCGGAUUUAUUGGGUUUAAAGGGUGCGUAGGUGGGCUGUUAAGUCAGCGGUGAAAGUUUGUGGCUCAACCAUAGAAUUGCCGUUGAUACUGGGAGGCUUGAGUACGGUUGAGGCAGGCGGAAUGCGUGGUGUAGCGGUGAAAUGCUUAGAUAUCACGCAGAACCCCGAUUGCGAAGGCAGCUUACUAAGCCAUGACUGACACUGAUGCACGAAAGCGUGGGGAUCAAACAGGAUUAGAUACCCGAGUAGUC
Molecule: ribosomal RNA, 460 nt
Filed under: uncultured bacterium
Lineage: Bacteria
Description: partial 16S ribosomal RNA
Rfam family: Bacterial small subunit ribosomal RNA
Source: RNAcentral